RNAcentral lists this transfer RNA (70 nucleotides) under Gyna caffrorum. Its description in RNAcentral is "tRNA-Ile". Lineage: Eukaryota; Metazoa; Arthropoda; Insecta; Blattodea; Blaberidae. The record is from RNAcentral.
AGUAUUGUGCCUGAUCGAAAAGGGUUAUCGUGAUAGGAUAAAUCAUGUAAAUAAUUAUUUACCUUUACUA